GUGCUUGCUUCAGUAGCACAUAAAGUAAAAUUGGACCGAUGCAGAGUAGAUUGGCAUGGUCCUUGCACAAGAAUGACACACAAAUUCCUGAAGUAUUUUAUAUUUUU
Molecule: small nuclear RNA, 107 nt
Filed under: Neotoma lepida (desert woodrat)
Lineage: Eukaryota; Metazoa; Chordata; Mammalia; Rodentia; Cricetidae
Source: RNAcentral